Molecule: transfer RNA, 75 nt
Filed under: Acholeplasma sp.
Lineage: Bacteria; Bacillati; Mycoplasmatota; Mollicutes; Acholeplasmatales; Acholeplasmataceae
Also listed under: 3 other names
Description: tRNA-Val
Rfam family: tRNA
About the family: Transfer RNA (tRNA) molecules are approximately 80 nucleotides in length. Their secondary structure includes four short double-helical elements and three loops (D, anti-codon, and T loops). Further hydrogen bonds mediate the characteristic L-shaped molecular structure. tRNAs have two regions of fundamental functional importance: the anti-codon, which is responsible for specific mRNA codon recognition, and the 3' end, to which the tRNAs corresponding amino acid is attached (by aminoacyl-tRNA synthetases). tRNAs cope with the degeneracy of the genetic code in two manners: having more than one tRNA (with a specific anti-codon) for a particular amino acid; and 'wobble' base-pairing, i.e. permitting non-standard base-pairing at the 3rd anti-codon position.
Source: RNAcentral
GGAGGCUUAGCUCAGCGGGAGAGCACUUGCUUGACGUGCAAGGGGUCAUGGGUUCAAUCCCCUUAGCCUCCACCA